This 433-nucleotide ribosomal RNA is filed under the name uncultured bacterium. RNAcentral describes it as "partial 16S ribosomal RNA". It matches the Rfam family "Bacterial small subunit ribosomal RNA", at positions 29 to 507 of the family's 1533-position model. The record is from RNAcentral.
AACGAACGCUGGCGGCAUGCCUAACACAUGCAAGUCGAACGAGACCUUCGGGGCUAGUGGCGCACGGGUGCGUAACGCGUGGGAACCUGCCCUUAGGUUCGGAAUAACUCCCCGAAAGGGGUGCUAAUACCGGAUAAUGUCGUCGGACCAAAGAUUUAUCGCCUUUGGAUGGGCCCGCGUUGGAUUAGCUAGUUGGUAGGGUAAAAGCCUACCAAGGCGACGAUCCAUAGCUGGUCUGAGAGGAUGAUCAGCCACACUGGGACUGAGACACGGCCCAGACUCCUACGGGAGGCAGCAGUGGGGAAUAUUGGACAAUGGGCGAAAGCCUGAUCCAGCAAUGCCGCGUGAGUGAUGAAGGCCUUAGGGUUGUAAAGCUCUUUUACCCGGGAUGAUAAUGACAGUACCGGGAGAAUAAGCUCCGGCUAACUCCGUG